AUGGUGAAGACAAUCUGCUUCCUCGGUGCUUUAAAAGCUUAAUCUAAAAUUUUUACGCUUAUACAGUAUGUGAGAUUUAUAAUGUUAGAGUUUCAUGCUAAUAUUACUACAUUAAACCCCUUGAUAAAUGGAAAUAGAUUACUUGUUAUUUUAGCAAAUUAAUGAUUGAGUAGAUUAUGUAGAGAUAUUUCAGUCCAAAUACUUAAUCUCAAAGCAGCCCAGUGUCAGGAUGACAAAGGUUCAAAAAAUGUUUUAAAACACAUUUCACCGCAUCAUGCAGACGAACUACACCACAUACCAACACAAACAACCUCAUUUCAAAGCCACAGGUCUGUACUACACACAUGGAAAAAAAUACAUUAAAUUGCUAGCUGGAUUAAAAUUUGAAAAGUUUCUAACUGAAGGUAAGUUUGAAUUUAAUUAAACAUUAGCUAAUGUUUCUUCUGAUUUGAAAAAUUCAUUUUGUUGACAUUUAUUAUCAAAUUUCUCCUUUGAUGAGACAGAUACUAAUGGGGAAGAAGAUAUUUUUCAAGAGUUGAUUCAGAGCAACCCACAGAUAUGCUUCACAGUAAGGUGUCCUCCACAAGGACUUUGGACGUUUCUGAUGUAUAAUUUCAUUCAGAAAUGUUCAAAUGUCUUCAUAAAAUAUUUGAAAAUUAAUCAAUAUUGAUCUUCUUUUUUUGAAAAAACAAUUUUCACCCCCUGCUACCUUAACACCAAGUACAUGCACUGAUGCGCUUUAAAACUCCGGUGAUGUAGAAGGGUUGGAGAGAACACAGCUGGACCUGUCUGCAAGCUCAAACUCGAGUAAUGCCUGAGAAGUUGGGAGGUUUGGUAAUUCAAGACUUUAUUGUGCUGUUCAAUACUGAAACAUCUGCAUGAUUGCUUGGGCAGUAGGAGACAGCAUUUAAGCAGAAAGUCAUCAAAGAAGCAAAGUCUCUCACUUUGACAGCAGAAGGUCAAAGUUAUAUCAGUGCAACAGAGAAACAACAGUCUGAAAAUGGGAGGAACGAGGCUACAAUCAGUCGAACUGAUGCUGUUGACAGGCUUGUACGUUUACAUAAGUCCUGUAUCAGCAUUUAAGAACAUUUCAGCAGGAGAGAAGGUCACCAACCAUACUUACUUGCAGUAGGACAAACCAAGAAGAGGAUCGACAAUUUUUAUGUGGUUGUGGACAAGCAGCUCAUCCCUUGUGCAGGAACCACCUCCCUGAGUGCCAUUGAUGAACUUUCAAAAUUCAUUAUGUUUUUAACGUCUCCUAUGAAGAAUCUCUGGCAAAUGUAUAGAGCCUUUUAUUUAAUGAUAUCCUUUUUAAAUGAUCCCCACUAGCACUUAUUUAUUUUUUACACAAUUGCCAUGCAUGUUGAUGAGCUCAGUGUUACAGAGUAGUGUUUGCACAAAAGGAUUAAUAGCAGCCGUAAUCUAUAUGUAAAUGUACAAAUAUGUAAAUUAACCCUUGUAUACUCUAUAAAUUGCCAUUGAGACUGAGCUUUUUUAU
Polypterus senegalus (gray bichir) is the source of this 1498-nucleotide long non-coding RNA. RefSeq lists it as uncharacterized. The transcript has 4 exons. The record is from RefSeq and is a predicted model, not a curated record. Lineage: Eukaryota; Metazoa; Chordata; Cladistia; Polypteriformes; Polypteridae.